Molecule: transfer RNA, 69 nt
Filed under: Eopsetta grigorjewi (shotted halibut)
Lineage: Eukaryota; Metazoa; Chordata; Actinopteri; Pleuronectiformes; Pleuronectidae
Description: tRNA-Phe
Rfam family: tRNA
About the family: Transfer RNA (tRNA) molecules are approximately 80 nucleotides in length. Their secondary structure includes four short double-helical elements and three loops (D, anti-codon, and T loops).
Source: RNAcentral
GCUGACGUAGCUUAAUUAAAGCAUAACACUGAAGAUGUUAAGAUGGGCCCUAGAAAGCCCCGGGAGCAC